AGCGAACGCUGGCGGCAGGCCUAACACAUGCAAGUCGAACGAACCUUUCGGGGUUAGUGGCGGACGGGUGAGUAACACGUGGGAACGUGCCUUUAGGUUCGGAAUAACUCAGGGAAACUUGUGCUAAUACCGAAUGUGCCCUUCGGGGGAAAGAUUUAUCGCCUUUAGAGCGGCCCGCGUCUGAUUAGCUAGUUGGUUGAGGUAAUGGCUCACCAAGGCGACGAUCAGUAGCUGGUCUGAGAGGAUGAUCAGCCACAUUGGGACUGAGACACGGCCCAAACUCCGCCGGAAGCCAGCAGGGGGGAUUCUUGCAAAAGGGGCGAAGGCCGGACGCAGCAAUCCCGGUGAAAUAAGAAGGUUUUUGGAAUAGAAAAUUUUUUUCCCGGGGUACAAAAAGCACGCCACCGGGAGAAGAGCCCCCGCCUACCUUGGUC
RNAcentral lists this ribosomal RNA (434 nucleotides) under uncultured bacterium. RNAcentral's name for it is "partial 16S ribosomal RNA". It matches the Rfam family "Bacterial small subunit ribosomal RNA", at positions 29 to 508 of the family's 1533-position model. The record is from RNAcentral.